This 371-nucleotide long non-coding RNA is filed under the name Homo sapiens (human). Its description in RNAcentral is "HSALNT0216111". Lineage: Eukaryota; Metazoa; Chordata; Mammalia; Primates; Hominidae. The record is from RNAcentral.
AGAAGUAGUAAUAAAUAGACAGCAACCAGAGCGUGAGCUGGUUAGGAAGGCAUUUCACGGGGUUGGACAAGGGAACGUUGUUUCAAAAGCAACAAGAAGGUGGAGAUAAGAUGCUGACGUUCAUUGACCUGCAAGUAAUGUGAAUGUGGAGGAGAUUAUGAGUAGAAUGUGAUCUUUGAGCUGUUUUGGAUUUCUCAUGAGAGGUGAAGCUGAGAAUGAGAGGGUCCGGAGAGAGAGUCUCCUCAUGUCCUCCACGAUCCAGGAACCAGCAGGACAGCUCUGCGCCAGAAGACAGCCAUCAGCACACACACAACCCAAUACGGCUGACAGAUCCAAGCAGCCAGGAAGGCACAGGGGCCCUAGGAAGGUAC